Molecule: transfer RNA, 72 nt
Organism: Camelus ferus (Wild Bactrian camel)
Lineage: Eukaryota; Metazoa; Chordata; Mammalia; Artiodactyla; Camelidae
Rfam family: tRNA
About the family: Transfer RNA (tRNA) molecules are approximately 80 nucleotides in length. Their secondary structure includes four short double-helical elements and three loops (D, anti-codon, and T loops).
Source: Rfam
GAGGGUAUAGCUCAGUGGUAAAGUGCAUGCUUAGCAUGCAUGAGGUGCUGGGUUCGAUCCCCAGUACUGUUA